GAAAGCUUGGAGAAAGACCCGAUCUGCGCAAACUCAAACACCGAAGGGAGGAAGCAUCUUGAUUUGGGCUUGCGUUUCUUCUUCUGUGUUGAUCUUUUUCAGGAAACCAACUCAUCCCUGACUGGAACAACAGAGUCGUCCCCCAGCUUCCACGUUCAGCAUAACAUCCGGAUUGUUUCGGGAGCAGCGCUGCUCCCAACAGAAGCCAGGCAGGUCGGAGCAAGUUUGUGGCGAGCCGCCGAACGACCACAGGAGGGAUGAAGACUUUUCGACUUUGCCACGUGGGCCGCUGCAGAUUUCAGCUGCAGAUCUGGGAGCGGGAACCUUUUUUUCUUGGGUUGGCGUUUAUCUCAGCUGAUAAUAAACUUGCUUCGCUGUGGGCGAGCUCCUUCACAAUCACAGAGAGUCGACUCGGGUGUGGUGUGAAAUGACGUGAAACGAGACAGAAGUGACAAAAAAAUCCUGAAAUUAAUAUUCUGUAGAGCCUGCACAGAGCGUAGCUCAGCAAUUCAUCUACAAAA
This is a long non-coding RNA of Gambusia affinis (western mosquitofish), 521 nucleotides long. RefSeq lists it as uncharacterized. The record is from RefSeq and is a predicted model, not a curated record. NCBI's taxonomy places the organism in Eukaryota, Metazoa, Chordata, Actinopteri, Cyprinodontiformes, Poeciliidae. The transcript has 3 exons.